AUGGGAGCUUGCUCCCUGAUGUUAGCGGCGGACGGGUGAGUAACACGUGGGUAACCUGCCUGUAAGACUGGGAUAACUCCGGGAAACCGGGGCUAAUACCGGAUGCUUGAUUGAACCGCAUGGUUCAAUUAUAAAAGGUGGCUUUUAGCUACCACUUACAGAUGGACCCGCGGCGCAUUAGCUAGUUGGUGAGGUAACGGCUCACCAAGGCAACGAUGCGUAGCCGACCUGAGAGGGUGAUCGGCCACACUGGGACUGAGACACGGCCCAGACUCCUACGGGAGGCAGCAGUAGGGAAUCUUCCGCAAUGGACGAAAGUCUGACGGAGCAACGCCGCGUGAGUGAUGAAGGUUUUCGGAUCGUAAAACUCUGUUGUUAGGGAAGAACAAGUACCGUUCGAAUAGGGCGGUACCUUGACGGUACCUAACCAGAAAGCCACGGCUAACUACGUGCCAGCAGCCGCGGUAAUACGUAGGUGGCAAGCGUUGUCCGGAAUUAUUGGGCGUAAAGCGCGCGCAGGCGGUUUCUUAAGUCUGAUGUGAAAGCCCCCGGCUCAACCGGGGAGGGUCAUUGGAAACUGGGGAACUUGAGUGCAGAAGAGGAGAGUGGAAUUCCACGUGUAGCGGUGAAAUGCGUAGAGAUGUGGAGGAACACCAGUGGCGAAGGCGACUCUCUGGUCUGUAACUGACGCUGAGGCGCGAAAGCGUGGGGAGCGAACAGGAUUAGAUACCCUGGUAGUCCACGCCGUAAACGAUGAGUGCUAAGUGUUAGAGGGUUUCCGCCCUUUAGUGCUGCAGC
This 798-nucleotide ribosomal RNA is filed under the name Bacillus paralicheniformis. RNAcentral's name for it is "bacterial SSU rRNA". It matches the Rfam family "Bacterial small subunit ribosomal RNA", at positions 72 to 852 of the family's 1533-position model. The record is from RNAcentral. Lineage: Bacteria; Bacillati; Bacillota; Bacilli; Caryophanales; Bacillaceae.